GAGGGUAUAGCUCAGUGGUAGAGUGCAUGUUUAGCAUGCACAAGGUCCUGGGUUCAAUCCUCAGUACCUCCA
RNAcentral lists this transfer RNA (72 nucleotides) under Camelus bactrianus (Bactrian camel). It matches the Rfam family "tRNA". Rfam says of the family: Transfer RNA (tRNA) molecules are approximately 80 nucleotides in length. Their secondary structure includes four short double-helical elements and three loops (D, anti-codon, and T loops). Lineage: Eukaryota; Metazoa; Chordata; Mammalia; Artiodactyla; Camelidae. The record is from Rfam by way of RNAcentral. RNAcentral also lists the same sequence under 2 other names.